AUAGGUGUUGGAGUUCAGCUGCUAAAUUUUUAAUAUCUUCUCCCGCAGACAAUUCAACAAGGACAGAUUGAUCACAAACGUAUGACGCUAUAUAAUACGAACAAUACCCGCAUGUAUAUUCAAUAGAGUUUCAUUAUUGUCACAGAGCUAACCUUGGCUUCUCAUUAAGACUUUUCCUAUCCGACUGAAAGCAAGCAAUCUUUUCAUUGGCAGCAUGGGAUACAUCAUGUGUUUUAUUCUGAUGUCGUCACUGAUAAACACGGCACUUCCCAGAAGCACAAAAACUAGACAGGUGGCGCUUUUGGACAAGGAAUGCUGGGACCAUUGCAACGCAGAGUACAACAAUUGUAAACUGUUUGAUGGUUGUCGUAAAAUGCCUUUUGGAAAAUUCAACAGCCAGUGUAUGUUUGACUGUGAGAGUUGGGCUGAAACCUGUCUGUGGCGCUGCUUAUAACUGACACAAACUGAUCUUUGGAUAAAUUGAUGACAGUAAUUUUCGAUUUGCAGCAAUCAUGAUUAAAGAAAUUUGGUAACGUGUCAUCUAAUGUUUUCAUAUGAAUAAAGAAAAAAUUAUUCUAGGC
This is a long non-coding RNA of Ostrea edulis (European flat oyster), 581 nucleotides long. RefSeq lists it as uncharacterized. NCBI's taxonomy places the organism in Eukaryota, Metazoa, Mollusca, Bivalvia, Ostreida, Ostreidae. The record is from RefSeq and is a predicted model, not a curated record. The transcript has 2 exons.